Molecule: long non-coding RNA, 1647 nt
Filed under: Malus domestica (apple)
Lineage: Eukaryota; Viridiplantae; Streptophyta; Magnoliopsida; Rosales; Rosaceae
Description: long non-coding RNA (MDOM_LNC020038)
Source: RNAcentral
AUGAACUUAAACGGCCAACACUUAUAUUCCGACUGGCUGAAUCAUGCAUUGCAUGUAAGAAGAAGAAGACCAUUAGAUUUUAGUCAUAUAUUGACAACGUAUACAUAUACAAUAUAAGGUAAAUUACAAAAAACUAUCUCAAUUAUAAGUCGAAUCACAAUCUCAGACCUCAUGUUUUAAAUAUUGCAAUAUCAUUCCUCAUCGUAUGAAUUUGUUGAAAUGUCAGGUCUUUAUUAAAUUUUCUGUCAAUCUGAUUGUUAAAUGAUGACAUGAUAGAAACGAGACCCACUUUUUUGCCAACUUGAAUAAAAAAUUAAUUAAUUAUUAAAAAAUUAAUAAUUUUUUAUUUGACAAUUAAAAUUAACUUUAAAAAUAAAUAAAUAAAAAAACCUCUCCUCCUUGUUUCGUGGAAAUAGUCCCGUUCCUCCUCCCAUCACUCCUUCCUCCGCUCCCCCUCUUCCUAGUCCUCCUUAAACACAGCUAAUUUUCGUCCUCCUCCGGGAACAACUGAUACACCGCCGAUCGCAAAACGCAGGUGGGUUUCGAUGGCAAACCAAAACCAGACCCCAAAUAAGUGGGUUUUGAUGGCAAACCAAAACCAGACCCAAAUCAUCUUGCUCCAACAGUCUUUACAUAAAACUAAUUGAUUUCUUCAUCAUAAGUUCACUAAGAUUUCGCAAAACUGAGCAUUAGAAACCAUCCCCUUAUCAUCUUCCCUCUCUUCAAAUCCCAUCACCGACUGGGGCUUUCGCCCCACUGCCAUUUCUUCAAUUUCUUCUUCUUCACCAUUUUUCUAAGAAAACCACCAAACAAAAUUGCAAAGGUAGAGAGUUCCAGAAAGCCAAAACGAAGAACCCCACAAAAACAAAACCCAAAACGAAAAACACAAAUACAAACCCAGAAAAUUCAAGAAAUUAGAGAAUUCAUUUUUUUUUAAUUAGAGAAACUAAAAUUUCAAAAAUUCAAGAAGUGGCCAUUUGAAAAUUCGCCAAGAACUCCGGAUUUUCGAAAUCCUCCAUAAUAUUAAUUGAAGAAUGGAAGUUCAUUACAGUCCAAUUUUUUUCUUUUUAUUUCCCAUUUUCUGGGUUACCACCACUGCUACAGAUUCGCUUCCCCGAUGCGUAUCAACCUCUACACCUUCUCAUUUCCGUCUCCGUCCGUUCGGUUCUCCAUCAACCACCAUUCGAUUUCUCCCAACCAUCAUUCGAAUCGAUCCACUGCCGUUUCAAAGAAAACCGGACCGAUUUUGAUGCCGAGGAAGGUAUGUGCUCGCCGACGUCGUAGCCAGAUCAUUUCGUUGCAACCUCCACAAGAACCACGGAGGGAGUCAAAACACCGGAUCUUUCCCGUCGAACAGAUUGAAUAUGUGCCGAUCUGAUAUGACGAACUCGCUGGUCCGAAUCGGUGGACUCGAAGGCGGUGGAUGGACAAGGAAGAAGGGGGACGAAGGAGGACGAGGAAGAAGGGGGACGGACGAGGGAGGUGGGGGAGGGGAGGAGACGAUUUCUGGGGAAAUGAAGAGAGUUUAUUUUUAUUUUUUUUUAAAUUAAGUUUAAUUGUUAAAUAAGAACUAGUAAUUUAUUAUUAAUUAAUUAAUUUGUUAUUCAAUGUGGUAAAUGAGUGGGUCUCACUCCUACUACUUCAUCA